GUUUGCCUCUGUAUCUAGGUCUAUACCCGAACUCUUACCGAACUCGAGCGUCCUUACCUAAAUAGCCAUACAUACUACUUUUGUGGGAACCAUGGCUUUCAAAUUAAUUUAAUAUAAAAAUGGUUGCGUUAU
This 132-nucleotide ribosomal RNA is filed under the name Undaria pinnatifida. The record is from RNAcentral. Lineage: Eukaryota; Phaeophyceae; Laminariales; Alariaceae.